CCUACGGGGGGCAGCAGUGGGGAAUACUGGACAAUGGGCGAAAGCCUGAUCCAGCCAUGCCGCGUGUGUGAAGAAGGCCUUCGGGUUGUAAAGCACUUUCAGUGGGGAAGAAAGCCUUGGGGCUAAUACCCUCGAGGAAGGACAUCACCCACAGAAGAAGCACCGGCUAACUCCGUGCCAGCAGCCGCGGUAAUACGGAGGGUGCGAGCGUUAAUCGGAAUUACUGGGCGUAAAGCGCGCGUAGGCGGUCUGAUAAGCCGGUUGUGAAAGCCCCGGGCUCAACCUGGGAACGGCAUCCGGAACUGUCAGGCUAGAGAGCAGGAGAGGAAGGUAGAAUUCCCGGUGUAGCGGUGAAAUGCGUAGAGAUCGGGAGGAAUACCAGUGGCGAAGGCGGCCUUCUGGACUGACACUGACGCUGAGGUGCGAAAGCGUGGGUAGCAAACAGGAUUAGAUACCCUAGUAGUC
This 465-nucleotide ribosomal RNA is filed under the name Vreelandella stevensii. RNAcentral describes it as "partial 16S ribosomal RNA". It matches the Rfam family "Bacterial small subunit ribosomal RNA", at positions 338 to 795 of the family's 1533-position model. The record is from RNAcentral. Lineage: Bacteria; Pseudomonadati; Pseudomonadota; Gammaproteobacteria; Oceanospirillales; Halomonadaceae.